UGGGGGAUAUUGCACAAUGGGCGAAAGCCUGAUGCAGCGACGCCGCGUGGGGGAUGAAGGCUUUCGGGUUUUAAACCUCUUUCGCUAUCGAACAAGGCCCGCUUAGGGUGGGUUGAGGGUAGGUGGAGAAGAAGCGCCGGCUAACUACGUGCCAGCAGCCGCGGUAAUACGUAGGGCGCGAGCGUUGUCCGGAAUUAUUGGGCGUAAAGGGUUUGUAGGCGGCUUGUUGCGCCUGCUGUGAAAACGCGGGGCUUAACUUCGCGCGUGCAGUGGGUACGGGCAGGCUUGAGUGUGGUAGGGGGGACUGGAAUUCCAGGUGUAGCGGUGGAAUGCGCAGAUAUCUGGAGGAACACCGAUGGCGAAGGCAGGUCACUGGGCCAUUACUGACGCUGAGGAGCGAAAGCAUGGGUGGCGAACAGG
Molecule: ribosomal RNA, 420 nt
Filed under: bacterium
Lineage: Bacteria
Description: partial 16S ribosomal RNA
Rfam family: Bacterial small subunit ribosomal RNA
Source: RNAcentral